GACGAACGCUGGCGGCGUGCUUAACACAUGCAAGUCGAACGAAGAGCGAUGGAAGCUUGCUUCUAUCAAUCUUGGUGGCGAACGGGUGAGUAACGCGUAAUCAACCUGCCCUUCAGAGGGGGACAACAGUUGGAAACGACUGCUAAUACCGCAUACGAUCUAAUCUCGGCAUCGAGGAUAGAUGAAAGGUGGCCUCUACAUGUAAGCUAUCACUGAAGGAGGGGAUUGCGUCUGAUUAGCUAGUUGGAGGGGUAACGGCCCACCAAGGCGAUGAUCAGUAGCCGGUCUGAGAGGAUGAACGGCCACAUUGGGACUGAGACACGGCCCAGACUCCUACGGGAGGCAGCAGUGGGGAAUCUUCCGCAAUGGACGAAAGUCUGACGGAGCAACGCCGCGUGAGUGAUGACGGCCUUCGGGUUGUAAAGCUCUGUUAAUCGGGACGAAAGGCCUUCUUGCGAAUAGUGAGAAGGAUUGACGGUACCGGAAUAGAAAGCCACGGCUAACUACGU
Molecule: ribosomal RNA, 509 nt
Filed under: uncultured bacterium
Lineage: Bacteria
Description: partial 16S ribosomal RNA
Rfam family: Bacterial small subunit ribosomal RNA
Source: RNAcentral